Molecule: non-coding RNA, 48 nt
Organism: Schistosoma haematobium
Lineage: Eukaryota; Metazoa; Platyhelminthes; Trematoda; Strigeidida; Schistosomatidae
Source: Rfam
AUUCAGCUGACGAGACCCAAAUAGGACGGAACGCGUGUCAAACUGAAU